Molecule: long non-coding RNA, 395 nt
Organism: Neopsephotus bourkii (Bourke's parrot)
Lineage: Eukaryota; Metazoa; Chordata; Aves; Psittaciformes; Psittacidae
Exons: 2
Source: RefSeq, a predicted model, not a curated record
GUGGUACAAGAAAACCCAUCAAGACAAGACUUAUCUGUUUUGACAAGAACAGCUCUCAGUUUCCUACCUUCCAAAUCCCUAUUCCCAUGAGCAAAGGGCAUUGGACAGCUGUGCGGGACACCAGAGAGCAAGAUCAGUUUGUGAAGCUCUCAUCUCUGAAACACACUCUUCAACUUUAGAUGACGCUCUCCUAUGGAACAGCACUAACAGUCAACAGAGAAUCAGCAGCAAAUAUCAACAACUAAUCUUUCUCUUUUGAAGAAACAGUCCUACAUAUCACAGAGGUUUCAAAGCCAAUGAUGAAACAAAAACCCCGAAGCUAUAGUCCAUUUACCUGUAGCCCUGACAGCCUCGAAGAAUAAAAGCACUCAAGAGCCUUGAGUUACUAUCUUUAA